UCCGAAGGGGGCUAUCGUUGUUCGGAAUCACUGGGCGUAAAGCGCACGCAGGCGGAUCGAUAAGUCGGGGGUGAAAGCCCGGGGCUCAACCUCGGAAUUGCCUUCGAUACUGUCGGUCUCGAGUCCGGGAGAGGUGAGUGGAAUUCCUAGUGUAGAGGUGAAAUUCGUAGAUAUUAGGAAGAACACCAGUGGCGAAGGCGGCUCACUGGCCCGGUACUGACGCUCAGGUGCGAAAGCGUGGGGAGAAAACAGG
RNAcentral lists this ribosomal RNA (253 nucleotides) under uncultured bacterium. RNAcentral's name for it is "partial 16S ribosomal RNA". It matches the Rfam family "Bacterial small subunit ribosomal RNA", at positions 524 to 776 of the family's 1533-position model. The record is from RNAcentral.